This 2809-nucleotide unclassified non-coding RNA is filed under the name Helicoverpa zea (corn earworm). RNAcentral describes it as "serine/arginine repetitive matrix protein 1, transcript variant X2". Lineage: Eukaryota; Metazoa; Arthropoda; Insecta; Lepidoptera; Noctuidae. The record is from RNAcentral.
GAUACUGCUAUACUGUUGAGGGAAGUGGCUAGCCAGGUGGUAGCUGAAAGAGCGAGAGAUCAUGCAGCUGAUGGCGGGGCUACAGCUGGGCGAGGAGGAGCGGCGCGAGUUGCCGCACGUCAUGCGACAGAGACACGCGCCCAGAUAACACAACGCCACAACUGCAAGGGCGCCACCUGUCGGCUGAUGACGAAGCAGUGCGCCAUCGGAGCCAACACAUUUUACCUCGAUCACGAAAUAAACGAACACAACCAAAUAACUUGUGCACUCAAAUGACAACGAUCAAACGUCAAACGGAACGUAACGUAACGUUCGGAUAAAAUAACGUUACAAUAAACACGUUAUUUUUUUGGAUAACUAGUUCUUGGGAAUGACAUUUGAGUGAACGAUGAACAUUAAACUAUUAAUGUAAUUAUAAAAAAAAUGCUGGUCAACUGUUAUCAAUCUUUGUAUUGAAACCAAAUCAGCAAUGUAUAUUAAAAUGUCAUUCGUUAAACAAAAUCGAGUACCAAGCCGUAAAACAAAAUAUAAUAACCCAAUUUCAAAAUACGAACGCGGCAUAACGAUCGUAGAAUCGAAUCGAGGUUCGGCUUAAUCGAUUUGUCACGAACGUUCUCGGGUUGUUUCCGAUUAUCGAUUAAUUACUUUAGAAAUCCGUACCUACGCUAAACAGGGUACCUAAGAAACUGUAAUUUAAUUAUUUCUAGUAAUUAAAUAUCGAUUUUUAUCUAUGGAUGUUUAAGGAUCAUUAAAACGAUGAUUGCAUCAGAAAACGUUCGAGGCCGUGAAGGGUCUGAGUUUAUUGAAUAAGUAAAAUUUGAAACGUUAUGUUGUUAAUAUCAUUUGUAUAUUUCAUUUUAAUAUGUUUAGCGGUUGAGAACACGUUUUAUAAUAUACUAUUCUGAUUCCAUGACGCGUAAUGAUUAAAAAAUCGUUAUGUCAUCCGCCAUAUUUCUUUUUAUCUGUCAAUUGUUAUAGUCAUUUAUUGAUAUCACUGAUGUAUAGUCCAUUAUGCUUAAUGUUUUGUUUUUCUAUUUAUAGCCAACCAGUUUAUAUUAUUAUUAUGUCUACACUUAGAAAUCAGCACGAAAUCGUGACUUCCAAAGCGAUAAUCUACAUUGAGCGACUAAGAAUACAAGUAUCGUCAAUGUAAACUUUGUAGAUACAUAAAUAACUGCCUAAGGAAUGAUAACUGUUGAAAAAUAUCACCUUCCACGUAUGAAACUUUGAAACAUCUAUCCAAGGCACUUUUCACUUCCCUCUUUCUGUUAAAUCAUUUUAAAUUUCAAACAUUUUCAUUAUUUUAUAUAGACAAUGUUGAAUUGGGUAGGUUCUCUUCUCAUAUCUGUCAAAGUUAACAUCAGUCAAAAUGUUUAAUAAUUUUUCACUGAGGGAUGCACAUACAAAACUUGAUCUGAAUAGUAUAUUAUUAGACGUGUUCUUGACAUAAUUAUAUGUUAGUAGAUAAGCACUAUAUAGUCAUUUAUAUACCUAUUUAAUUGUGCCUUAAUAUCAGAGAGAAAUGUUUAAGUUAGUGUGUAUUCCGAUCUAAGAGAAAUAAGUCAACCUUGUAAUUUUUGUUCAAUUGUUUUAAUCGGAAAGUUUACAUUCCAAAUGCACAUUCCAUAAUUAACGUCGACUAUAUAUAAUUUCACAAAAAAACGGAAUAUAUUUUAUCUUUGGGCCCAUUUUCACUGAUGACAUAAAAGUAAGUUUUUCUUGAAACAAUUGCGUACUUUGAAAAUUGAAUGCGAAAAUUCAGUUGUUUUAAGAAAAUUGACGUUUAUGAUCGUGGUGAACAUGGACCAGUAAAUAACAUAGUUCGCGUUGUCAUGGCAAACGCUCACUUAAAUAAUGCUAUUAUGUCUGAAAAGGCAUUGAAUGUACCUAAAACAAGAGUUUGAUAGAACGAGUGUACAAAACUUAUAUAUUAGUCAAGUAGAAGGGAAUAUUGUAAGCUGGUUUAUAUAGGGAAAUAGGUAGAAAGACAAUACUAGUUAGAGCCAAAAAAUUAUCAAGAAAAAGGAUGAUUUAAGGCGUCAAAUAACUAGAAAUGUUCGCAAAAUGUUCUUCGUUGCAAGCAUUUGUUAUCACUUAAAAUAGCAAGGAACGAAUUGUAAUUUAAUAUUAUUCAUGUACUUAUAAUUUUGUCACUUAACAUAGUAAAAUCAUGUCAAAUGCUUUGAAUGUAUGAAAAUUGGUUUAGCGCCAUCUAUCGGAUGACGUUGAAAGCUAAGAUCAAGCAUUUACAAAGUAUGUCAUGCAGUAAUUUAACUGAUUACUAUGUAAGACUUAAAAAAGAUAUAAUAUUUAAAAAAAUAUGUAAAUAGUAAUAAAAAUCAUAUUUCGCAAAAAUAUAAUAGUAAAUAUAAUUUUGUCAUCAUCAAAUAUUUUAGGCUAUGAGUGCCAUUAAAGUUUUAAUCAUUCCUAGUUUAUUUUUUAAUUAUUAAUUAUUAAGAUGGGCUUGCCUGUCAUUUGGGGGGUUUUGGGCUUCUUGUCACAAAUUAACCAAGUUUUUUACUGAAAUAAAAAACACGCAUUGUGUCAGUCAUAAACUUGGUUAUUUUAACCUGUGACCACGGAGUUUUUAUGUGAAGGAGAGAAUAUACGUGAUGUCUUUGUAAUUAAAAAAAAUAUUUUAUCAAAAAACUCAAUGCAAAAAAUAUUGAAAAUUGUACAAUACUUCUGUAGAUACACAUAAAAUUAAUCUAUAAUUAUGUUAUUGUAUGGUGAUUUUUUCAACGAACAGACAACGAAUGUAUUCAAUUAUUAUUGUAGUUAUUCAAUUAAAUGUAGCAUGUAACAUAUA